RNAcentral lists this small RNA (136 nucleotides) under Mytilus galloprovincialis (Mediterranean mussel). Lineage: Eukaryota; Metazoa; Mollusca; Bivalvia; Mytilida; Mytilidae. The record is from RNAcentral.
AGAGAAAGAGAUUCUACCACUGCAUCGAGUGUAAUACGAUAUUUAUCCAAGUCUCGCGUUUUAAAUUUGAAAUUUAACUGUCUCGAGUGGAUAAAUUUCGUAUUACACUCGAUGCAGUGGUAGAAUCUAUAUUUAU